AGCCCAGAGCCUGAAUCAGUGUGUGUGUUAGUGGAAGCGUCUGGAAAGGCGCGCGAUACAGGGUGACAGCCCCGUACACAAAAAUGCACAUGCUGUGAGCUCGAUGAGUAGGGCGGGACACGUGGUAUCCUGUCUGAAUAUGGGGGGACCAUCCUCCAAGGCUAAAUACUCCUGACUGACCGAUAGUGAACCAGUACCGUGAGGGAAAGGCGAAAAGAACCCCGGCGAGGGGAGUGAAAAAGAACCUGAAACCGUGUACGUACAAGCAGUGGGAGCACGCUUAGGCGUGUGACUGCGUACCUUUUGUAUAAUGGGUCAGCGACUUAUAUUCUGUAGCAAGGUUAACCGAAUAGGGGAGCCGAAGGGAAACCGAGUCUUAACUGGGCGUUAAGUUGCAGGGUAUAGACCCGAAACCCGGUGAUCUAGCCAUGGGCAGGUUGAAGGUUGGGUAACACUAACUGGAGGACCGAACCGACUAAUGUUGAAAAAUUAGCGGAUGACUUGUGGCUGGGGGUGAAAGGCCAAUCAAACCGGGAGAUAGCUGGUUCUCCCCGAAAGCUAUUUAGGUAGCGCCUCGUGAAUUCAUCUCCGGGGGUAGAGCACUGUUUCGGCAAGGGGGUCAUCCCGACUUACCAACCCGAUGCAAACUGCGAAUACCGGAGAAUGUUAUCACGGGAGACACACGGCGGGUGCUAACGUCCGUCGUGAAGAGGGAAACAACCCAGACCGCCAGCUAAGGUCCCAAAGUCAUGGUUAAGUGGGAAACGAUGUGGGAAGGCCCAGACAGCCAGGAUGUUGGCUUAGAAGCAGCCAUCAUUUAAAGAAAGCGUAAUAGCUCACUGGUCGAGUCGGCCUGCGCGGAAGAUGUAACGGGGCUAAACCAUGCACCGAAGCUGCGGCAGCGACGCUUAUGCGUUGUUGGGUAGGGGAGCGUUCUGUAAGCCUGUGAAGGUGUGCUGUGAGGCAUGCUGGAGGUAUCAGAAGUGCGAAUGCUGACAUAAGUAACGAUAAAGCGGGUGAAAAGCCCGCUCGCCGGAAGACCAAGGGUUCCUGUCCAACGUUAAUCGGGGCAGGGUGAGUCGACCCCUAAGGCGAGGCCGAAAGGCGUAGUCGAUGGGAAACAGGUUAAUAUUCCUGUACUUGGUGUUACUGCGAAGGGGGGACGGAGAAGGCUAUGUUGGCCGGGCGACGGUUGUCCCGGUUUAAGCGUGUAGGCUGGUUUUCCAGGCAAAUCCGGAAAAUCAAGGCUGAGGCGUGAUGACGAGGCACUACGGUGCUGAAGCAACAAAUGCCCUGCUUCCAGGAAAAGCCUCUAAGCAUCAGGUAACAUCAAAUCGUACCCCAAACCGACACAGGUGGUCAGGUAGAGAAUACCAAGGCGCUUGAGAGAACUCGGGUGAAGGAACUAGGCAAAAUGGUGCCGUAACUUCGGGAGAAGGCACGCUGAUAUGUAGGUGAAGCGACUUGCUCGUGGAGCUGAAAUCAGUCGAAGAUACCAGCUGGCUGCAACUGUUUAUUAAAAACACAGCACUGUGCAAACACGAAAGUGGACGUAUACGGUGUGACGCCUGCCCGGUGCCGGAAGGUUAAUUGAUGGGGUCAGCGCAAGCGAAGCUCUUGAUCGAAGCCCCGGUAAACGGCGGCCGUAACUAUAACGGUCCUAAGGUAGCGAAAUUCCUUGUCGGGUAAGUUCCGACCUGCACGAAUGGCGUAAUGAUGGCCAGGCUGUCUCCACCCGAGACUCAGUGAAAUUGAACUCGCUGUGAAGAUGCAGUGUACCCGCGGCAAGACGGAAAGACCCCGUGAACCUUUACUAUAGCUUGACACUGAACAUUGAGCCUUGAUGUGUAGGAUAGGUGGGAGGCUUGGAAGUGUGGACGCCAGUCUGCAUGGAGCCGACCUUGAAAUACCACCCUUUAAUGUUUGAUGUUCUAACGUUGACCCGUAAUCCGGGUUGCGGACAGUGUCUGGUGGGUAGUUUGACUGGGGCGGUCUCCUCCUAAAGAGUAACGGAGGAGCACGAAGGUUGGCUAAUCCUGGUCGGACAUCAGGAGGUUAGUGCAAUGGCAUAAGCCAGCUUGACUGCGAGCGUGACGGCGCGAGCAGGUGCGAAAGCAGGUCAUAGUGAUCCGGUGGUUCUGAAUGGAAGGGCCAUCGCUCAACGGAUAAAAGGUACUCCGGGGAUAACAGGCUGAUACCGCCCAAGAGUUCAUAUCGACGGCGGUGUUUGGCACCUCGAUGUCGGCUCAUCACAUCCUGGGGCUGAAGUAGGUCCCAAGGGUAUGGCUGUUCGCCAUUUAAAGUGGUACGCGAGCUGGGUUUAGAACGUCGUGAGACAGUUCGGUCCCUAUCUGCCGUGGGCGCUGGAGAACUGAGGGGGGCUGCUCCUAGUACGAGAGGACCGGAGUGGACGCAUCACUGGUGUUCGGGUUGUCAUGCCAAUGGCACUGCCCGGUAGCUAAAUGCGGAAGAGAUAAGUGCUGAAAGCAUCUAAGCACGAAACUUGCCCCGAGAUGAGUUCUCCCUGACUCCUUGAGAGUCCUGAAGGAACGUUGAAGACGACGACGUUGAUAGGCCGGGUGUGUAAGCGCAGCGAUGCGUUGAGCUAACCGGUACUAAUGAACCGUGAGGCUUAACCUUACAACGCCGAAG
Molecule: ribosomal RNA, 2652 nt
Filed under: Escherichia coli
Lineage: Bacteria; Pseudomonadati; Pseudomonadota; Gammaproteobacteria; Enterobacterales; Enterobacteriaceae
Description: partial 23S ribosomal RNA
Rfam family: Bacterial large subunit ribosomal RNA
Source: RNAcentral